UACGAACGCUGGCGGCGUGCCUAAUACAUGCAAGUCGAACGAACCGCGACUGAGUGCUUGCACUUGGUCAAGGUGAGUGGCGAACGGGUGAGUAACACGUGGGUAACCUACCUCAUAGUGGGGGAUAACAGUCGGAAACGACUGCUAAUACCGCAUAGGACAUAGGAUCACAUGAUCCAGUGAGGAAAGGUGGCGCAAGCUAUCGCUAAGAGAUGGACCCGCGGUGCAUUAGCUAGUUGGUAGGGUAAAGGCCUACCAAGGCGAUGAUGCAUAGCCGACCUGAGAGGGUGAUCGGCCACAUUGGGACUGAGACACGGCCCAAACUCCUACGGGAGGCAGCAGUAGGGAAUCUUCCGCAAUGGGCGCAAGUCUGACGGAGCAACGCCGCGUGAGUGAAGAAGGUCUUCGGAUCGUAAAGCUCUGUUGUUAGAGAAGAACAGCGCAUAGAGUAACUGCUAUGCGUGUGACGGUAUCUAACCAGAAAGCCACGGCUAACUACGUG
Molecule: ribosomal RNA, 502 nt
Filed under: uncultured bacterium
Lineage: Bacteria
Description: partial 16S ribosomal RNA
Rfam family: Bacterial small subunit ribosomal RNA
Source: RNAcentral